AGAGUUUGAUCAUGGCUCAGAUUGAACGCUGGCGGCAGGCCUAACACAUGCAAGUCGAACGGUAACAGGAAGCAGCUUGCUGCUUCGCUGACGAGUGGCGGACGGGUGAGUAAUGUCUGGGAAACUGCCUGAUGGAGGGGGAUAACUACUGGAAACGGUGGCUAAUACCGCAUAACGUCGCAAGACCAAAGAGGGGGACCUUCGGGCCUCUUGCCAUCAGAUGUGCCCAGAUGGGAUUAGCUUGUUGGUGAGGUAACGGCUCACCAAGGCGACGAUCCCUAGCUGGUCUGAGAGGAUGACCAGCCACACUGGAACUGAGACACGGUCCAGACUCCUACGGGAGGCAGCAGUGGGGAAUAUUGCACAAUGGGCGCAAGCCUGAUGCAGCCAUGCCGCGUGUAUGAAGAAGGCCUUCGGGUUGUAAAGUACUUUCAGCGGGGAGGAAGGUGUUGUGGUUAAUAACCGCAGCAAUUGACGUUACCCGCAGAAGAAGCACCGGCUAACUCCGUGCCAGCAGCCGCGGUAAUACGGAGGGUGCAAGCGUUAAUCGGAAUUACUGGGCGUAAAGCGCACGCAGGCGGUCUGUCAAGUCGGAUGUGAAAUCCCCGGGCUCAACCUGGGAACUGCAUUCGAAACUGGCAGGCUUGAGUCUUGUAGAGGGGGGUAGAAUUCCAGGUGUAGCGGUGAAAUGCGUAGAGAUCUGGAGGAAUACCGGUGGCGAAGGCGGCCCCCUGGACAAAGACUGACGCUCAGGUGCGAAAGCGUGGGGAGCAAACAGGAUUAGAUACCCUGGUAGUCCACGCCGUAAACGAUGUCUACUUGGAGGUUGUGCCCUUGAGGCGUGGCUUCCGGAGCUAACGCGUUAAGUAGACCGCCUGGGGAGUACGGCCGCAAGGUUAAAACUCAAAUGAAUUGACGGGGGCCCGCACAAGCGGUGGAGCAUGUGGUUUAAUUCGAUGCAACGCGAAGAACCUUACCUGGUCUUGACAUCCACGGAAGUUUUCAGAGAUGGAAUGGUGCCUUCGGGAACCGUGAGACAGGUGCUGCAUGGCUGUCGUCAGCUCGUGUUGUGAAAUGUUGGGUUAAGUCCCGCAACGAGCGCAACCCUUAUCCUUUGUUGCCAGCGGUUAGGCCGGGAACUCAAAGGAGACUGCCAGUGAUAAACUGGAGGAAGGUGGGGAUGACGUCAAGUCAUCAUGGCCCUUACGACCAGGGCUACACACGUGCUACAAUGGCGCAUACAAAGAGAAGCGACCUCGCGAGAGCAAGCGGACCUCAUAAAGUGCGUCGUAGUCCGGAUUGGAGUCUGCAACUCGACUCCAUGAAGUCGGAAUCGCUAGUAAUCGUGGAUCAGAAUGCCACGGUGAAUACGUUCCCGGGCCUUGUACACACCGCCCGUCACACCAUGGGAGUGGGUUGCAAAAGAAGUAGGUAGCUUAACCUUCGGGAGGGCGCUUACCACUUUGUGAUUCAUGACUGGGGUGAAGUCGUAACAAGGUAACCGUAGGGGAACCUGCGGUUG
RNAcentral lists this ribosomal RNA (1522 nucleotides) under Salmonella enterica subsp. enterica serovar Ibadan. RNAcentral describes it as "bacterial SSU rRNA". It matches the Rfam family "Bacterial small subunit ribosomal RNA". Lineage: Bacteria; Pseudomonadati; Pseudomonadota; Gammaproteobacteria; Enterobacterales; Enterobacteriaceae. The record is from RNAcentral.